Corapipo altera (White-ruffed manakin) is the source of this 197-nucleotide long non-coding RNA. RefSeq lists it as uncharacterized. The transcript is spliced from 3 exons. Lineage: Eukaryota; Metazoa; Chordata; Aves; Passeriformes; Pipridae. The record is from RefSeq and is a predicted model, not a curated record.
CGCAGGCGCGGGGACGCGCCUCACCCCACCCCGGGGUCGCGCACCUGAGGGGGCACGGUGGGCCCGGCCCUCAAAUGGAGUGGGUUAGUCGAGAGAUCCUGCUAGAGUCUGUCACUGGAAGCUGUCAAACUACAAGUGUUUAAGUAAACACAGGACUUGCCUGUGUGCCUGCUGGGGAAUUCACUGAAUGAGGGUGA